AAUAAAUAGAUCUCACAAACCUCAGAAAGCACACAUCUGAAAUCACAAUUUUAAAAUAUCCAUCCAAACCUGCAGUGACAGAGGACGCGGCGAGGAGCAACACCGGACGGCAAGACUGGAGCAGAGGAAGCGGCGGAGAAGAGCAAAGAAGCAAGCAGACCAGCGGACGCAGGAACCGGACGCAGAACGACGUUGACAGCGUGGAGCAGAGGAACGAUCGGCGGGAGGCGCACGGCUGUACCAGACGAGUGACGGAGAGGCCGAAUGGGGGAGGGGAGGGCGGUAGUAGACUUGAGAGUUGAGAGAGAUUUAGGGUUGGGAUUUAAGGGUUCUUUUGAUAGUAGGUUUGUUUAUUUAGGUUUAUUUUUUAUCUUUCAAUUAAGAUUUUAUUUUUAUAGUUUAUAUUAUUUAAAAUGUUUUAUACUAUAUGUUUAUUAAUUUUGUCUUUAAUGGUAUAAUUUUUUUAAAGAUAAAUAAUAUAGUUUUAUUGUAUUAAAAUAUUAUACUGUAUUAAUUUACAAUAACAAUAUUUUAAAUUAUUUUUUAAAAUAAAUUGUACUAAAAAUAAGAAUAUACGUAAAAUUAUAAAAAAAAUAUUUUAACAGUAUAUUUAAUCUUAAUUUAAAAUUUUAAAUAAAAUAAAAUUUAAUUAAAAAUUAAAUUAAAAUUUUAAAAAUAAAAUGGUCGCUAAUUGGUCGCUGAUUGGUCGCUGUUUAGCGACUAAACUAAUUAGUCGCUAAAUAUGAUCGCAAAUUAUAACAUUAUAUUCCCACUCAAAAAAUACUCGCAAUUUCGUCGCAAAUAUGGUCACAAAUAUCUUGCGCCACUAAUUCCUGCUAAAUUUAGCGACGAUUUAAUAUUUGGUCGCUAAAUAGCGACCAAAUAACGACAAAUUUUUGGUCGUUGAGUUUUUUAUUAAAUAAAAAUAUUAUUUUAUUCAUGUAGUAGCAGAAUGGUCGCUGAUUGGUUGCUAUAUAGCAACCAAAAAUUUUAGUCGCUAAUCUUGGUCGCAAUUUCACAGUUUUUUUGUAGUGUUAUAAGAUUUACAAUGAAACAUAAAGACUCAACCAUCUAGAGAAGAAGGAACGUAAACCGUAAAUUUGCAAGCCAAGUGAGCCAAGUUCAGCAAUCUAAUAACCUAAUCAGCAAAUCAAUACAAAAGUCUUCCUACGUCCCCAUUUUCUCCAAUAUAAUGACGCACGUACCAGGCUUUUGACCGUAGGCAAAAGGAACUAAAACCAAGAAGCUAAUACCAUGUCCCUCCAAAAUUAAGCACACCUUCGUUCUGC
Molecule: long non-coding RNA, 1289 nt
Filed under: Manihot esculenta (cassava)
Lineage: Eukaryota; Viridiplantae; Streptophyta; Magnoliopsida; Malpighiales; Euphorbiaceae
Description: long non-coding RNA (MESC_LNC001506)
Source: RNAcentral